AUGCCCGCAGUCGGUUGUCACGCCAGAAAAAAAUGUGAAUUUUGGAAUUAAUUAUUUGUUGAUUUAACAUAGUAAAUAAAGCUAUUUUUACAAUAUUUUAACGUUAAAACGUAGUUUAGGACUUUGUGCACAGUGUGGAGUGGUUAUUUGGAGUGUUUUAGUGGGAAAUAUGUGCAGUUUUAAGAUACUUUAAAGGACUCAGGCACCAAGAUGGACCCUUUAAGCAACUAUGAUUAUUCAUACAGUAACUAUGACCAGAUGCCGACUCACGACUUCAUGUACAGCGUCAAAAUGGAACCGUUACACCAAGCCGUUACCAACCAUAUCCCCGACCCGUAUGCUAACAUGUACCCUACGGAUUACCAAAACAACGAUAAACCAGUAACGGGAACAGAAAACCAAGUAACGGAAUCAAAUAAUGACAUUGGUGAGACUGCACAAGGAAAUGAAAACCAAAAGCAAGUUGACGAAGAAGACAGCAAGGAACAUCUGAAGUAUUUAACGGAACCGAAGAGACGGCUAAAGCGAAAAGGCAAAACUAGUACAUAUUGGAAUAAAAAAGUUGAAGAUAAAAACUUUCCUUUCUACGGUUGCACUAUUUGCAAUGUAAGUUUUUCAACGAUUCAAGAUUUGGACCAACAUGUAACUGUGCAUAAAGGUAGGAUAACGAGUUACGAUAUAAGAGUACGUAACCAGAUCAAAAGAAAGGAAAAGAUUAAAGAAAUGAAACGGCUAAAGAAAUUGGGGAAGAAAAUAAAGACGGAAGGCCUUACGGACAUAGAAAUUAAACCGGAAGAUGGUUACAUUGGUAACGAGGAGGCUUCAAAAUAUAACGAUUCAGAGAAAAACGAUCAUGUUAACAACGAGAACACGGAUAUAAAUUCUGAAAAUGUGAACCAGAAUGUGGUUAAUAACGAGAAUGGUGCUACAACAGCCUCGAAGCGAGGGAAGGGUGGAAAAAAAAACAAUAAAAAAUCAAAAUUAGGAGUCCCCGAAGAUCCACGAUUGCUGAAGUUGUUCAAAUGUUUUGCAUGUCAAAAACAAUUCUCGUUAAGCUAUUACCUGAAGUUACAUGUCAGAUCGCAUACAGAUGAGAAGCCCUACACAUGCGCCGAAUGCGGACAGUCGUUUAUAACAGCGAGCAAACUCGGGCGACACAACAAGAGAAUACAUCUCGCCAUCAAAUUCCAAUGUCGGAUCUGCUACAGAUUUUUUUCCAGAUUCGACAUUCUUACGCGGCAUUUCGACAAAGCACAUAAAGAGGAAAAAUUAGAGGGCGAACCGUAUGAUUACAACGCCAUCCUUCCUUACCUGAAGGAAUUAGAAGAACAAUUAAGAGAAAAGGCAGAUAAAGAUAAAAUCCAAGACCAAAUAGACCCCAAGACAGAAGACGAAAAGACCGCAGUAAACGAGAAGACCGUAGAAGACCAGAAGUCGAAGAGUGACCCUUGGCCCUUUGCCCAGAGCGUUAAUAAGGAUUCCAUUGACGUUCUGGAUAAUAAGGGUCUCUCUGAUGACCUGGUGCAAGGAGAUAAUCCGUACCUAGAGGACAAAGAUAGGGAUAGAGAUUACGAACCGGAGGAGGAAAUAUUGGUGGAGGCGGUGAAGGUACUCCCAGAGGCCGUGGACAUCAAGGAGGAGGACCAGGAGGAGAGCCAGUCCUUGGCUGACAUCAGGGAUGACAGCUUUUCGGACGACGACUAUUUCCCCUCGAACACGUGGGCGGCCACCCCCAAAAUAGAACUGCCCCCCACAACAGCGCCCCCUAAGAAAAGAAAACAAUCCGAGUUCCCGAUAAAGUGUGAAAUGUGUGAAAAAAUUAUAAAGACCCCAUCGUACUACAGAGUGCAUUUACGAACGCAUUCCGGCGAGAAACCAUUUUCAUGCUACAUAUGUAAACGGGGCUUUAUAACGUCGAGUAAGAUGCAUCGGCACGUUUUGACACAUGACGAGCAUCGGAGUGAUAAAGACUUGGAUGUGGUUAAAACUGAGGAUGGCGCCGAAGUGAAAGAAGAAACCGACGAAGAAGAAACUAGGACCAAUAAGAAAAAGAAAAAUGUAACCAAAGAAAUCAUCCUGGGGAAGAAGUCUACUGGAAGGAAGAAGAGGGAAUAUAGGAAACGGCCGCACGCAUGCUUGUACUGCAACAAACGCUUCCUGCAUCGGGAGACUUUGUAUGUCCACAAGAAGUGUCACGAAGGUGAGACCCUGGUCCUCAAGUGCAACUUCUGCCUGGAGGUGAUGCCAGAUGAAGACACGCUAAGGGAUCAUGAGCAGGAACACACCGGACCGAAGCCCUAUUUAUGUACUAUAUGUCUACGCAGCUACACCAAGCGGGAGGCGAUGGUAUACCACAGGAAGUCCCACGGCGAAGACCCUAAGGAGAAGAACGAGUUUGUCUGUGAUAUUUGUUCUAAAUCGUUCAACGCUAAAUGCAAGCUUCAGAGGCACAUAAUCAGUCACAAAGUGGACAAGUUUGUCCUGCGUUACGAGUGUCCUGUCUGCGCGCACAUGUUCAACACAAAAUAUCACGUGCAAAUGCAUUUAUCCACUCACAUGAAGGAGGGAUUGAUCAUGGAGGAGAACCGCAGUGAGAUCCUGGCGAUGGUGCUGCAGAACGCACGCAAGAUACCCAAGAAGACCGACGCGACUGACAACUUCACCUACCUCAUUCCCGCGGACGAGAGGUCCCGCGUCUGCAACAUUUGUGGACAGGUAUUCCAACAUUUCUACUACUUAGAGGAACAUCUGAAGAGUCACGGCUCGAAAAUAGCUAUUGAGGACGACACGAAAGCCGAAGACAAGAAGCACAUAUGCCCCGUUUGCAAUAAAGGCUUUAAACUCCACUAUCUCCGGACAUCGACCGGUCACUGUGGAGAAUGACCAGUCCCUUUCUUUUUCAACGGAUAAGAAAAUGACAGGUAUAACUUAAAAUAAAAUUAGAUGGUGUUUGCAGGAAUUAGCACCAUUGUUUUGGUUAUUUUACACUGGUACUAAUACCUACAGACGCCAUCUAAUUUUAUUUUAAGUUAUACCUGUCAUUUUCUUAUCCCUUGAAAAAGAAAGGGACGGGUAAUCGCCAAGCAUAAAAUUUAUGGAACACACGCCAAUUUUAAGCAUAAAUCUAAAACCGUCUAAAAAUUUUACAUCGGCCAAUAAUCCGACGGACUCAAGUAGACAGCACGUCAAACGGAUUGCGUAUCAGCGAGAUGCCUAUUUUAUUCGCCCGGGUUAUUCAUUCGUUUUAAAAUUAACUUGUUGACAAUCAUCCGUCCCUUUCCUUUUCGGCGGAUAAGAAAAUGACGGGUAUAACUUAAAAUAAAAUUAGGAGGUGUCUGCAGGAAUCGGGGCCAUUU
RNAcentral lists this unclassified non-coding RNA (3356 nucleotides) under Pectinophora gossypiella (pink bollworm). Its description in RNAcentral is "zinc finger protein 624-like". Lineage: Eukaryota; Metazoa; Arthropoda; Insecta; Lepidoptera; Gelechiidae. The record is from RNAcentral.